Molecule: transfer RNA, 71 nt
Filed under: Loxodonta africana (African savanna elephant)
Lineage: Eukaryota; Metazoa; Chordata; Mammalia; Proboscidea; Elephantidae
Rfam family: tRNA
About the family: Transfer RNA (tRNA) molecules are approximately 80 nucleotides in length. Their secondary structure includes four short double-helical elements and three loops (D, anti-codon, and T loops).
Source: Rfam by way of RNAcentral
GCAUUAGUGGUUCAGUGGUAGAACUGUGGUCUUCCAUGCCAGAGACUCGGGUUCAAUUCCCAGCCAGUGUA